This 535-nucleotide ribosomal RNA is filed under the name uncultured bacterium. Its description in RNAcentral is "bacterial SSU rRNA". It matches the Rfam family "Bacterial small subunit ribosomal RNA", at positions 107 to 617 of the family's 1533-position model. The record is from RNAcentral.
UGAUUACUAGAUAGUUUACGUAUCCUUCAGACGCGGAUAAUUCUCCGAAAGGGGUUGUAAUACGCGAUGAGACCACAGCUGAUCCGUCAGCAGGGGUCAACGGUUCGGGAUCCUUCGGGACCGAGCGCUGUUGGAGCGGACGACCUCCGAUUAGCUAGUUGGCGGGGUAACGGCCCACCAAGGCGAUGAUCGGUAGCCGGCCUGAGAGGGUGUCCGGCCACACUGGGACUGAGACACUGCCCAGACUCCUACGGGAGGCUGCAGUCGCGAAUCAUUCACAAUGGGCGCAAGCCUGAUGAUGCCACGCCGUGUGCGGGAUGAAGGCCCUUUGGGUUGUAAACCGCUGUCAAGGAAGAGGAACCGCCACUGGUGAAUAGUCAGUGGUCUGACUGCUUUCUAAAGGAAGCCCCCGGCAAAACAUGUGCCAGCAGCCGCGGUAAUACAUGUGGGGCAAGCGUUGUUCRGAAUUACUGGNCAUAAAGGGUGCGUAAGCGGUUUGUUAGUCACUGGUGGAAAUUNUUCGGCCCCACCCGGA